This 402-nucleotide long non-coding RNA is filed under the name Setaria viridis. RNAcentral's name for it is "long non-coding RNA (SVIR_LNC009980)". Lineage: Eukaryota; Viridiplantae; Streptophyta; Magnoliopsida; Poales; Poaceae. The record is from RNAcentral.
GGGGGUGGGGAAGGGAGUGGAAAUGGGAGGACGUUAAGGGGGUGGAGUGCAUAUAUUCCUUGGAGAAAUUAGGGAGACUAAAAAUGGGAAAAAAAAUUUGGGCUAUUUUUGCCUAGAUUCUUGGGAGAACCGUGGUUGUGUUGUCACGCGUUAUUUUGAUUUUUGACAACUUGUUUUCCUUGCUUUUGAAUAGGAAAAUGAAGCGUGAUUCAUAUCCGUUACCCUUUUGAGGUGUUAUGUGUUCUGGCUCUUGCAUGGUGACUUCAAAGUGCAAAUCUACAAGCAUAACAGGUUAUAUGGUGCUUUUUUUUUUCUUGAUGACAUGAGCUUCUGUACCUUAUUUUUAUUUUUAUUUUUGCCAAGUGCAUUUUUCUCAAACUAUGAAAAAUCAUAACGGUAAUA